Molecule: long non-coding RNA, 864 nt
Organism: Nematostella vectensis (starlet sea anemone)
Lineage: Eukaryota; Metazoa; Cnidaria; Anthozoa; Actiniaria; Edwardsiidae
Exons: 3
Source: RefSeq, a predicted model, not a curated record
UUGGUGUAUUGUAUUCAUUGUUCUGGUACGAGAUCGCGACAGUUUGGGCUUUUUGAUUCUACUUGACUACAACAUAUAUCCAAAGCUAUAUUUUAAAGCUCUGUAAAACUAUUGGUACACGAAUUUUGUCGGUGGACUGCACCGACUGCUCGGAGUAUAUUAUCGUGGUCUUCCUGUUUUUUAAGGGUAUGCCUGUGGUUUUACGGAGCGUGGUAAAUUCAAAAUGGCGGCUUGCAUAUGAGCUCUUACCUCUUACCCCGGUUACACGACUAUCGCCUAUACGACUUCCUCUGUCUGCCAAAAAUUUUUACAUGAAUGAUACAUUCCUAUCGGAUCUUGAUUAAAAUUCCACUUCAAUAACAACAUCUGACAAGCAAAUUAGAAAUACCCCUACCCGGAAAUGGGUGGAAAUAUUCAAGUGCAAUUCUGGUCAACUAUACAGAAAGUAACGAAGAACUCUCAACCCUCCUGGAGGUGUACACUGUAUACUAUAGGCCACAUAUCAAAGUUUGUAUAUACUGGCUCUUAGAAGCUAUACGCUCAUCUCGCUUCUGAUUACUUUGUCUGUUUCGGACACACACAAUAAGAGCCAUUUUGACCCAAGGUCUUUGUUCUCGUAUUUCUAUAUGCCCAGGUGGCAUGGUGUAAACACAAGACUAAACAACUCAUAGUCAGCAUAAAGCCAAUUCAAUAUAAACUAUUAGUACGCUGGUGUUUUUUGUUCGAAUGUUUAAUGGACACGGCAAAAGAAAUUACUAGCGCUUGAGGCAAUAUAUAUUUUUUUAUUUCAGGUGCGCGUUCGCAGAAUAUUUCCCUGUAUUGUUUUAUUAUUCUAUAGUAAGACCGAAGGUUAAUAAUUGUGCC